Molecule: ribosomal RNA, 425 nt
Filed under: uncultured bacterium
Lineage: Bacteria
Description: bacterial SSU rRNA
Rfam family: Bacterial small subunit ribosomal RNA
Source: RNAcentral
GUGGGGAAUAUUGGACAAUGGGCGCAAGCCUGAUCCAGCCAUGCCGCGUGAGUGAUGAAGGCCUUAGGGUUGUAAAGCUCUUUCGCCGGUGAAGAUAAUGACGGUAACCGGAGAAGAAGCCCCGGCUAACUUCGUGCCAGCAGCCGCGGUAAUACGAAGGGGGCUAGCGUUGCUCGGAAUCACUGGGCGUAAAGCGCACGUAGGCGGGUCGUUAAGUCAGGGGUGAAAUCCUGGAGCUCAACUCCAGAACUGCCUUUGAUACUGGCGACCUAGAGUUCGAGAGAGGUUGGUGGAACUCCGAGUGUAGAGGUGAAAUUCGUAGAUAUUCGGAAGAACACCAGUGGCGAAGGCGGCCAACUGGCUCGAUACUGACGCUGAGGUGCGAAAGCGUGGGGAGCAAACAGGAUUAGAAACCCUUGUAGUCC